UGGGGAAUAUUGGACAAUGGGGGCAACCCUGAUCCAGCGACGCCGCGUGUGUGAAGAAGGCCUGCGGGUUGUAAAGCACUUUUAGUGGGGAUGAAAAGCUCAGGGCUAAUACCUCUGGGUCUUGACCUAACCUACAGAAAAAGCACCGGCUAACUCUGUGCCAGCAGCCGCGGUAAUACAGAGGGUGCGAGCGUUAAUCGGAAUUACUGGGCGUAAAGCGUGCGUAGACGGUUUCGUAAGUCGGAUGUGAAAUCCCCGGGCUCAACCUGGGAAUUGCAUUCGAAACUGCAAGGCUAGGGUGCGGAAGAGGGAAGCGGAAUUUCCGGUGUAGCGGUGAAAUGCGUAGAUAUCGGAAGGAACAUCAGUGGCGAAGGCGGCUUCCUGGUCCAGCACCGACGUUCAGGCACGAAAGCGUGGGGAGCAAACAGG
RNAcentral lists this ribosomal RNA (429 nucleotides) under uncultured bacterium. Its description in RNAcentral is "bacterial SSU rRNA". It matches the Rfam family "Bacterial small subunit ribosomal RNA", at positions 355 to 776 of the family's 1533-position model. The record is from RNAcentral.